GCUAAACGCGAAGAACCUUACCUGGUCUUGACAUGUCUGGAAUCCCGAAGAGAUUUGGGAGUGCCGCAAGGAACCAGAACACAGGUGCCGCAUGGCUGUCGUCAGCUCGUGUCGUGAGAUGUUGGGUUAAGUCCCGCAACGAGCGCAACCCUUGUCCUUAGUUGCCAUCAUUUAGUUGGGAACUCUAAGGAGACCGCCGGUGACAAACCGGAGGAAGGUGGGGAUGACGUCAAGUCAUCAUGGCCUUUAUGACCAGGGCUACACACGUGCUACAAUGGCAGGUACAGAGGGAAGCCAACCAGCAAUGGGGAGCCAAUCCCAGAAAGCCUGUCUUAGUCCGGAUUGGAGUCUGCAACUCGACUCCAUGAAGCUGGAAUCGCUAGUAAAUCGCAGAUCAGCAUUGCUGCGGUG
Molecule: ribosomal RNA, 411 nt
Filed under: uncultured bacterium
Lineage: Bacteria
Description: bacterial SSU rRNA
Rfam family: Bacterial small subunit ribosomal RNA
Source: RNAcentral